CAUCUUCCACCAUGACUCUGAAGCCUCCCCAGCCGUGUGGAACUGUGACUCCAUUGAACUUCUUUCCUUUAUAAUUAGCCAGUCUCAGAACACUAGAAGUCCCUGGGAAAGUCUGACUAGUGAAGCUCAUACAAUUAACUGUGAUGGUGGAGAUGAGGAUAGUCUUAAAGGUAACACGGUUGCAACAGACCCAUCUAUGUGAAUAUAAAGACUCUUCCUUCUGCAGCAAGUAGAAGGCAUGACUGAAGCAACUCAAGUCUACAUCAUCCCAGCCUCACAAUCUCCCAAGAGAACAAGAGCCCCAGUUGGCCAACAUCUGAACAUAAAUUCUCAUCAGUCCACCUUCAUAAGCAGAUGGGAAGGGUCUCCAGGGAUAACAGGAAUUUAACCAACUUCAGCAAUCAGCCUGGUUUACAGCCUCCUGCCCUGCAGCCUGUUCUUCCACAAACCCUGGGUAAAAUGCAGUCACCUUGUUGGUUUAAACCAGCUCCUGACAGACCCCCGGCAACAUACAGAUGAACUCAAGUGAACUUUCUCAUGACCACGCUAAAGUCUCCACCCUGGGCAACCUGUAGCUUCAUUACCAUGACAUGCAACUUAUGCGUUGACGUAAUGACUCACUGCAUCUGUGCAACUAGACCUCUCC
This 646-nucleotide long non-coding RNA is filed under the name Pan troglodytes (chimpanzee). Its description in RNAcentral is "lincRNA". The record is from RNAcentral. Lineage: Eukaryota; Metazoa; Chordata; Mammalia; Primates; Hominidae.